ACACAAAAAACAAAAAAAAAAAAAGAGAAGCAAGUAAUCUGUUUUAAUCCUAACCCUGGUAAUCAAAGUCCUUCAACGCAAUUUCAUCUACGCUUCUGACAUCCAAUCAUGGCUUUGAGAUCAAUGGUGGGUUAUCACUAAUCGCUAAUUUCUCUAUUGUUUAGUUCAAGAAUGUGUUGUUCUCUCACUUAAUUUCUGUGAUAUUUAUGAUCUGCAGAGUUGUUGGAAAUCAAUGGUGAGUCGGUUGAGUGGAACUGCAACGUAUGCAACUUCAAGCUCUCCAAAAAUGAUGGCGUAUGCUCCAACAGCUGAUUUCGGCAAUCCUCAGCGAGAAAAACGUACUAAAAAGACAAUAAAGGGAGAGUUUGUGCCCGUUUAUGUGGUGAUAGGAAUGAUAGCUCUAUCGGUAUCUCUGGGUCUGUACACCGCGAAGCAACAGAUAAUGCACUCCCCGACAGUACGCGUGAAGAAGAAGACAAGGGAAACGAUACCAGAGGUGGAGGAGCCUGAGAUAGUGGUGAAUGAGGCUGAUAGAUUCUUGAAGAAGUCUUUCUUCAGGAAAAUUGCGCAUGUUCAAGAGUUUGAUAGCGGUCUUCGAUAUACGCCUGAUCCUAUUCGUAGAGACGCUUUUGCACACGAGCAGCCCCGCGCUGAGACUCCCAAGUCUGUUGGGGUUGAUCCCAAGCGGCGUUGAGAUGUAUAUCUUUUUUACUCUACCUGCAGGAAGUUUGGGCUAAUCUUUUACCUUUGCAUAAGAUUGUAAAAUUAAGAGAUAAUCUUUCUCGUGAUGUGUUGUAAGAUAAUGUUUGAGAUGAAUGGUAUUUAUACGCUUAUAACAAACCAUAAGGGAAUGUUGCUUGGCGCAACCAUUGUUUUUUUUGGUGAGUGAUGUCUUUAAUCAUGUCAAUUUUCAAAGGCGAGGGGCUGAAAAAAUUGAAAAACUGAGGCGUUUGAGCAUCCGGGGAAUCAAACCCCGGUCAGUACCGUGGGAGGGUACUAUAAUACCUCUACACCAGAUGCGCAUAUUUUCUUGCGGAGAAACGAAUGAUUACUGUUAUUACUAUUUCUUACAGAUUAGUUUAGAGCAAAUGAGUAUCAAAUGCUAUUUAUGAAAUUUUCAAUGAUGAAAUGGAAU
Molecule: transfer RNA, 1135 nt
Filed under: Hevea brasiliensis (rubber tree)
Lineage: Eukaryota; Viridiplantae; Streptophyta; Magnoliopsida; Malpighiales; Euphorbiaceae
Source: RNAcentral